MicroRNA precursor from Medicago truncatula (barrel medic), 113 nucleotides. It matches the Rfam family "MIR2593 microRNA precursor family". The record is from Rfam. NCBI's taxonomy places the organism in Eukaryota, Viridiplantae, Streptophyta, Magnoliopsida, Fabales, Fabaceae.
AUUUAAGCAAAAUUGACUUUUUAGGUUCGUUCAUUUAAUGAUGUAUGUGGUCCAUAUUAUGAACCAUAUACAUCAUUAAAUGAAUGAAUUUAAAAUGUCAAUUUUGCUUAUAU